This 264-nucleotide ribosomal RNA is filed under the name uncultured Prevotella sp. Its description in RNAcentral is "partial 16S ribosomal RNA". It matches the Rfam family "Bacterial small subunit ribosomal RNA", at positions 92 to 354 of the family's 1533-position model. Lineage: Bacteria; Pseudomonadati; Bacteroidota; Bacteroidia; Bacteroidales; Prevotellaceae. The record is from RNAcentral.
CGACCGGCGCACGGGUGAGUAACGCGUAUCCAACCUUCCCAUUACUGUGGGAUAACCUGCCGAAAGGCAGACUAAUACCGCAUAGUCUUCGAUGACGGCAUCAGAUUUGAAGUAAAGAUUUAUCGGUAAUGGAUGGGGAUGCGUCUGAUUAGCUUGUUGGCGGGGUAACGGCCCACCAAGGCGACGAUCAGUAGGGGUUCUGAGAGGAAGGUCCCCCACAUUGGAACUGAGACACGGUCCAAACUCCUACGGGAGGCAGCAGAG